This is a long non-coding RNA of Fukomys damarensis (Damara mole-rat), 619 nucleotides long. RefSeq lists it as uncharacterized. The record is from RefSeq and is a predicted model, not a curated record. NCBI's taxonomy places the organism in Eukaryota, Metazoa, Chordata, Mammalia, Rodentia, Bathyergidae. The transcript is spliced from 3 exons.
ACUGGGGAGGGAGCAUGACCUGUCAGUUACAGAGUUCCAGAACAUAUAAGUAGAACAUAUCCCAAAACCCUGCACUUGAAACCAAUCCAAGAGUGCUGUCUUCAAUUCUCAUAAAACACCAAGCAGGUUUGUGAUAGGACAGCCUAGACCUGACCUCACUCAGCCUGAGGAGCAAGAGAUACAAACAUGGCCGCCACUGAGCUCUUGGCCACCGUACUCUCUCUCCCCCAGUGGUCUGCUCUCGACCCUGUAGAGUAUACUUCUUUUCUUACUUAUUUGUCAGGAACAAAUGAGAGGAACUUCUCAAGGGGAUCAUACCCUUAGGCUCCUUUUUACCCACAAGUUGUCAUGUGUAAUCGGCGCUUAACUAGUUACAAACCAAGCUCCUUUCUUUCCUGCCACAUAGAUUUCACCACACCCAAAAAGAAAGGAUAGGCAUCAUUAUGUCCCUUUCAGGAAGAAGCAAGUUCAGGCACUAGAUAUUUAAGGGAGGAAUGCGAUUUUGGAAAAAGAAGCUGUAACUAGAUAAGGACUUUUAAGUGGUUCUGCAUUUAAUCCAAUAACUGGUAACCCAAUAAAAGGAGAAGGCACAAGAGACAGAUAAGGAAGUGAUGGAAGA